RNAcentral lists this transfer RNA (71 nucleotides) under Camelus ferus (Wild Bactrian camel). It matches the Rfam family "tRNA". Rfam says of the family: Transfer RNA (tRNA) molecules are approximately 80 nucleotides in length. Their secondary structure includes four short double-helical elements and three loops (D, anti-codon, and T loops). The record is from Rfam by way of RNAcentral. Lineage: Eukaryota; Metazoa; Chordata; Mammalia; Artiodactyla; Camelidae.
GAGGGUAUAGCUCAGUGGUGGAGCUCAUGCCUAGCACACGGGAAGUCUGGGUUCAAUCCCCAGCACCUCCG